Molecule: long non-coding RNA, 5252 nt
Organism: Vicia villosa (hairy vetch)
Lineage: Eukaryota; Viridiplantae; Streptophyta; Magnoliopsida; Fabales; Fabaceae
Exons: 3
Source: RefSeq, a predicted model, not a curated record
UAUAGUCGCUACUUUGACGCAUUAUUUAUGUGUCUAAUUUCAUUAUUGCUCUUACAAUAAAUUUAAAAAAUAAAUGAUUGUUAAAAGAACAAAUUUUGAUAAUCAUCUAUUGAAUGAGUUAAAGAGAUACACGCAACAUAUUGAUUAUACACAUUUAACAUUAAUUUAAAUUUUAUAAAUGACUCUACAAAUUUCUGUUAAAUAGUAUGUAAUUGAAGAAGAUAUAAAAGUAAGCAAUUUUUUACUUAAAAGGGCUAAAAAGAUAUUUAUUACCUGCAGAGAGAAGAAAAAAAUAUACUAUGGCUCAAGUACUCUUGUUUUGUUAUGUUUUGAUAUUCUUCAUUACUAAAUUUCAUGUUAAAAAAACUGGAUUUCCCUGCCAAUCUGAUAGUCAAUGUCAAUUGUUUUUUACUCAGUUAAGUAAGUGUGUUGAUGGUUUCUGUGAGUACAAGGAACCAAAAUAAGCAUGUUUAAGAAUAAUUAUGUUACCUUUAUAGCUUAAUAUAUAUGGCAUAAUAUUUGUAUUCUUAUAAUGUACUUCAAAAUUUUAUUUUCAUUUCCCCAUCUUUCAUCUUUCAUGACAUAAUCUAAAAUGUAUUAGUACAAAUAAACUAAAAGAAAAUAAAAAUAGAUUGGAAUUGAACUCAAAACCGAAUUUAAUAGCACCACUCUACCAACAAGAAAGGAAAACACAAGUUGCUUCUAGUUGUUAAAUAAAAUGUCCUACCAAAGACGAGUAGUCUCAAAAAUCAAAUGGCGUCACCAUUUACUUAAAAGAGGUAGGAUAAAUAAAAGAAGGCCAUGAACUCCAAUAUCGCCGUUUUUUUUUGGUUUUACACCCAUCCUGUCAUCUAACCUAGUUAGGGAUCUUAACAUCACCAUUAACCCCUCGAACCUGUAAAGCUUGGCAAUCUUCUUCCACAUCUUAGUAGACAUUUUGAGAAAAGAUAGGAAGAAAAUAGCAAUUGCAUUCAGGAGAGGAAUGAGAAGUGUCACUUUGUCACUUAGGCUAACAUACAUAUGCUAGAAGUCAAUAUCUAAGUCUAUUAAAGGGGUUCACAUUAAUACUAAUAAGGAUGUUUUUGGAAAAAUUGACCGGAAGACCAGCGACAAGCUUAAACCCUUUAAGGAUAAUGAUAACUUUAAUAGUUCAAAUAUUCUCAAUCGAAGUCUCGACAACGAUUAAGGUAUCAUCGUCAUACUAAAUAUGAGAGAUAACUAAAUCUGAAGAAUUAAUCAUAAAACCAGACAGAAGAUCCAGACCCACUACUAAGCCCUUCCACAACUAAAAGGAAGAGAAAAUGGGCCAGUGGAUAUCUCUAUUUCAAACCUUAACUACGAUGUCCAAAUUACUAAAAAAUAUAUAAGCACACAAUCCAGGUGCGCCACUUAUCAGAAAAAUCAAACUUAACAAGCAUAUAAUUCAAAAAGCUCCAACUUAUAGAGUUAUGCCUUUUUCAAAAUCUACCUUAAAAACAAGACACUCUUUUAUUUUCUUAACAAGGUCAUUCACGACAUUCACAAGUACAACACCAUCAAUUAAAAAAUGACAUUUCAAGAACGUCAAUUGAUUAGACUGGACGGGAUAAACUUAUUCAUAAUUUUGACUAACAUAGCAAUUAAGAUUUUUGUCAUCAACUUAUAAAGAGAACCGACUAAAAAGAUAAGUCAAAAAUCUUUCAAACUAAUAGGCAACUCGGCCUUAGAGAUAAAACUAAAAACAACUUAGAAAAGAAGUGAAACUCAAAAAAAAAUCCUCCCUAAGAAGAGGCUAAUUAAUGCUCCUAGUGCUAAGAUUGCAAAAUAUAAAUUUUAACUUUGAUAUAAAAUGGUAUGGAAAAUAGUCAUUCUAUAAUCAUUUUAAUUUAUUUUUUUGGUUUUCGUACCAGUUUCCGACGUACAUAAUAGAUUGACUAAUCCGGCUCGUGCUACAGAGGCGCGUGUACUGGCCAAACAUUGUUUCUGCCAGGAACUAUAAUAAUUUUAAUUUAAUAAAUAAACAUUUUGUCACUACUUUGACACAUUAUUUAUGCGUUUAAUUUGCUUAUUACUAUUCAUGAUUGCUCUUACAAUAAAAAAAAUAACUUUGAUAAUCAUCUAUUAAGUGAGUUAAAGAGACACACGCAACAUAUUGAUUUAUAGACAUUUAACAUUAAUUUAAAUUUUAUAAAUGACUUCUUGCAAUCUCUAUGGCUCAAGUACUCUUGUUUUAUUGUUAUGCUUUGAUAUUCUUCAUUACUAAAUUUUGUUUCAAAAAAACUGGAUUUCCCUGCCAAUCUGAUUUUCAAUGUCGAUUGUUUUUUACUCUGUUAAGUAAGUGUGUUGAUGGUUUCUGUGAGUACAAGGAAUUAGAAUAAUCAUGUUUAAGAAUAAUUAUAUAUGUUGCCAUUUAGCAUAUAGUUUAAUUUAUAUGGUAUAAUAUUUGUAUUAAUGUACUUAUAAAUUUUAUUUUCAUUUCUCCAAUUUUUCAACUUUCAUGAAAAACUCAAAAAUGUAUUAGUAUAAAUAAAUUAAAAGAGAAUAUAGAUAUACCUAGUUUAAAACUUACUCUAAAAGUUUUAAGUUGGAAAAAAUCUAGUUAGAGAAAAAAAUGUAAAUUAUUAUUUAGUAAAACUUUAUGUUAAAAAACAUUUUAUUCUCCCCUAAGCAGGACAAUAAUCUCCUAAACUAAGGAGAAAAAUAUGUUGUAUCAAUUGUUCAAAAGCUGUAUUUGGAAGUGAUCACACAAACAAAAUUGUUACAACUAUUGUGAAGAUGAUAUGUGAAAAAGAAUGCUUGAGAGGUUUUGUUUUAUUAUAUUUCAUGUAUAUCUCUUUCUAUUUAACAACACAUGAAAAAUUAUCUUUAUAAAUAGUUGUUCAACUUUGAAUUAUGUUUUAAAACCUUUGAAUGAUUAAUUGAUAGAAAAUAUUUUUUGAAAUUGUCAAAAAUUAGAAAGUCGGAAGGUAGGUCUGAUUUAAUUUUUUAUUGUUAUUGUUCUUUGUUCCCACGCAUCAAUUCUUUUAGUGUGAUUUAACUCUAAAUAAUUCUUCUUAAAUAUUUUGGGAUGUUCCAUAGUUCAAAAGAGAAUAUGUUUGGGAUGCUCCACCUCUCUCAUAAGAGAAUUAGGAAAAAUCACUCUCUAGUCUAGCUCCAAAAAGUCUUCCAUAAAUAUGAGAUGGUGGUCUCCAAUCUUUCUCUCAUAAAGCCAUACUCAGAGCUUCUCAUAAUCCUAAUCCUACGUAAGAUAGCUCUAAACACAACCAAAUAACCUAACACAGUAGAUAGUCCUACACAUUAAGGGGUUGUUUUCAUUGUACCUUUUUUAAAAUUACAAUCGGUAUCCACCAUGGGGUCUGGUAAAACUGACUUGGGUCAGUCUCAUUUUCAUUCACCAAACACCUUAAUUUUGUUCUCCAACAUGAUGGUGGAAUGAGCACCAACGCCCACUGACGUAGAUGUGACCAUGAAUACCAUAGCAGAAGGGCUCGUCGGUGGUGGAGAAUCCAAUUGUUUUUGCCGGAAGAAUGGUCGGCAUGUUUUGACAACAAUCGUCGUACUCGCUAGCCUUAAGGAAGAUUCGAAAAAGAAUUCAAAGCCCAAAAUCACUUUUUUCCCAUAGAGAUGUCGUCGGCAUCCAGCUCCCACAUAAAAAUGACCUUAUGGUCAUCACAGUGCAAUACGAUGAUUUGUACAUAAAGUGAGUACAGGUUUAUCUUGGAUGCUCAAUAGACGUCAUAUUCUAGGACACUUUUGAGAGACUACAGCUUGAUCCAUAUGACAUUUAGACAUGUCAUGGCCCCCUAGCCGGUCUCUCUGACGAACACGUACAAAAUGAAGGCCACAUAAGCCUCCAGACAACGUUCGAAUUAAACGAGAACAUGAAGACAAUUAAGAUGAGAUACCUCGUAGUAGAUAUGCCUCAUCGUCGUACAACAUCAUCGUGAGGAGACCCACCACCCUCAAUCUGUUGGGGCCGUUUUAUCCAAUCUACACUUAAGCAUGAAGUACCCUUUACAUAACGGGAGGGUUGGAGUUAUCCAAGGGGACCAAGAGAUAGCCCAGAAUGUUAUCCAAGCAACCUCGAAAUGAGAAAAUAGAAAAGUGGGGAUGGUCGGCGCCGCCAUUUCACAGCUAGGCGCACGGGGAGUGAAUGCUGCAAACUUAUAUCCCAUAAUAGAAAUUGAAAAUGAAAGGCUCACUCCCACAAAGGAACUAAAAGACGUCUGAAUUGGGCCAAUAGAUUUUUAAGUCACCAAAUGGGCACCUCUUUAUCUAAAACAAAGGAAGAUGAAUCGUUUGCCUUGCUAAGGAGGAAUGUCAUUUUAUUUUCCUAGACGUCUGCCGACAUGCUAGGAAUAAACGCUAGGGUGGUCUGUCACCGUCUCGCCGUUAAAUCCAUUGUGAAGCUACUGUCUCAGAGAAAGCGCAAAGUGGGCAAGGAGAAAUAGGCGACGGUCGAUGAGAAGGUUGAGAAAUUGAAGAGUGUAUGCCUCAUAAUAAAGGUCAAGUUAUCCGACCUAGCUGACUAACAUGGUCUUGGUUCGAAAUAUAUCGAAUAAAUGGUACAUGUGCGUCAAUUUCACUAACUUGAACGCCACCUAAGGAUCCAUAUCAACUACCAAACAUUAACCGACUGAUUGAUGGGUCCUUAGGCUACAAAACCUUGAGCUUCAUGGAUGCUUAUUCAGACUACCAUAAGAUAAAGAUGAAUCAUUUGGACGCAUCCAAAAUAGGCACCACCUACCAGAGGCUAAUGGAUGCAAUUUUCUCAAAAUAAAUAGGGCAAGAUUUGGAUGUCUACAUCGAUGGUAUGAUUGUGAACACUUCAUAGAGGAGAAACCAUUGUGCAGACUUGAAAGACAUCAUUAAGUCGCUCCAGAAGUAUAUCAUGUGUUUAAAUCCCGCCAAGUACUCCUUCGACGUACAAUAGGGCUGUGCAAAAAAACCGGUUAUCCUUAACCAAAUUGAUAUCCAAAUUAUUCCACUUUUUAAAACCCAAUCCAAAUGCUAAAAUAUAAAAUCGGGUACCCAUUUUGUUAUCCAAAUAUAAACCGGUACCCAUAAUAAUAAUUUGGUUUAGUUAUUGGAUACCCACAUUUCAUUAUAUAUUAAAUUUAUACGUUUUUUUUUCAUGGUUCAUCAUAUACAUAUAUUAAAGUUAAAUUUCUCUAAUAACAUAUUAAUAAAUUAUAAUAUAAUUUUAAUUUUACUGUAUAAAAUUUCUAUACUUAAGUUUAUCCAUAUUUAAUGAUUAACUUUUCUAAAUCAAA